GGCCGGUUAGCUCAGUGGUUUGAGCGCGGUGCUGACAACAAUGACAACACCAAGAUCGCAGGUUCGAUUCCCGCUCAGUCCC
Molecule: non-coding RNA, 82 nt
Organism: Apaloderma vittatum (bar-tailed trogon)
Lineage: Eukaryota; Metazoa; Chordata; Aves; Trogoniformes; Trogonidae
Source: Rfam